RNAcentral lists this ribosomal RNA (392 nucleotides) under Burkholderia sp. RG4. RNAcentral describes it as "bacterial SSU rRNA". It matches the Rfam family "Bacterial small subunit ribosomal RNA", at positions 995 to 1392 of the family's 1533-position model. Lineage: Bacteria; Pseudomonadati; Pseudomonadota; Betaproteobacteria; Burkholderiales; Burkholderiaceae. The record is from RNAcentral.
CCCUUGCUAAGAGGUGGGAGUGCCCGAAAGGGAGCCAUAACACAGGUGCUGCAUGGCUGUCGUAGAGCGAGACGUGAGAUGUUGGGUUAAGUCCCGCAACGAGCGCAACCCUUGUCCCUAGUUGCUACGCAAGAGCACUCUAGGGAGACUGCCGGUGACAAACCGGAGGAAGGUGGGGAUGACGUCAAGUCCUCAUGGCCCUUAUGGGUAGGGCUUCACACGUCAUACAAUGGUCGGAACAGAGGGUCGCCAACCCGCGAGGGGGAGCCAAUCCCAGAAAACCGAUCGUAGUCCGGAUCGCACUCUGCAACUCGAGUGCGUGAAGCUGGAAUCGCUAGUAAUCGCGGAUCAGCAUGCCGCGGUGAAUACGUUCCCGGGUCUUGUACACACCG